CCCAUGAUGGUGAUGACUCAGAAAGCAGGCGCUCAGAACACUCAUAAAGGCCGAUGUGCAGCUUCCUAGACCCAGGCAGGAGGUGAGCCUCAUGGCCUCCUCCUCCCGCCUGCCCCGUGAACUCUUAAACCUGGAGAUGUGCUGAGCCAGGAGCCAAUGGAAUGAACAUGGUUUCCACCGAGUAAAAUUAUCAGCGUGUUAACAGCUGCCCCCCAAACAGCUGGGGAUGCAUUCCCGCCCUGCACAUGCAGACAGCAGCAACAUUUGCUCAACCUGGGAGCUUCAGAGACAGGCAUGAAACUAAAUCUUCCAAAUCCAUUGAGGUGAGCCCAGAUGCACCAACCCAGAGGAUCCAAGGGCUCAGCCUUUUCCAGGCCAUUCCCGGGGCCCUCUGCUCACUCCCCUCCUUCCUCCAUCUCCUUCCUCCCCAUUCUUCAUGCCUCCCUCUCACCCUGCCCUGUGUGUCUGUGUCUUAUGAAUGCCUACGCAUCUGAUGCUCCCUAGGAAGCCCCUCACCAUGCAUACUCCUCCUCAGUGCCCCCUGCCCUAAGCAUCAGGCUUUCUUGACCGUCUAACACUGCACCUGUGCAAGUCCCACCCUGGCCUCUCUGGGGACAGUGAUGUUCUUUCCUUGCCCCCUGAGCCCCAUCAGUACUCGGGAGCUGGCACACAGGGAGUGCCCUCAAAUGGCUGUGGGACAAGUGAGAGGAAGGUGCUGUGACAGCUUGUUUUCAGCCAGUGGACCCACUGAAAUGGAUGGACAGGCUCAAGGGUCCUGAGAGUUGGGUCCCCAGGCCAGUGGAACCAGCGUCACCUGGAACUGGACAGAUGUUGCUAUUAACCCCAUUCUACAGAUGAGAGAGUGAGGCACAGAGAAGGGGAGUACUACAACCAAGAUUACACAGCAGGUGGGGAGACCGAGGCAGAGAUCAUGAGUGAAUCGCCCAAGUUCAUAGAGCUCACCACCGUGCCCCAUCAGGCAUGGCCUCUGUCUAAGCCUGUGCUCUCUGCCCCAGCUGUACCUGUCUGAACAAGGGACUUUGAAGAUGUAUUUAAGAUGAGGUCAUAUUGGAUCACCAUGGACCCUAAAUCCAAUGACUGACUCAAACGGAAACAUCAGCUCUUCUUGAGUCUCAAGCUUGCCAGCUUCUGAACUGGAACUAUAACAUUAGCUCUUCUGGUUCUCAGUUCUACAGUAUUAAAUGAGAGCUUACACCAUCAGCUCUCCUGGGUCUCCAGCUGGCUGGCUGCAGAUCUUGGGGAUUCUCAGCCUCCCUGAUCAUGUGAGCCAACUCCUUAAGAGGCAAGGACACAUGUGGAUGGGAGAAGGCCAUGUGAAGUGGAGGCAGAGAUUUGAGUGAUGCAUCUAUAAGCCAAGAAACACCAAGGACUGCCAGCAACCACCAGAAGCUGGAAGAGGCAAGGAAGGAUUCUACCCUACAGAUUUCAGAGGGAGUAUGGCCCUGCCAACACCUUGAUUUUGGACAUCUAGUCUCCAGAACUAUGAGGUAAUAUAUUUCUAUCAUUUUAAGCCAUCCAGUUUGUAGUACUUUAUGGUGGCCACAUUAAUCUAAUGCAGACAGCCUGAAGUCCUCAGGUCACUUAUGAUCUGAGGCCCCUAAUAAAGAUUCCAGAAUAUAAAUAACUUUCAUUCAUUCAUUCAUUCAUCACUCAGAUAUUUCUCCUGUGCCUGCUAUUUGUGGGUCUUUGUUCUAGUAGCUGGGGACAUGGGACAAAACCCACUGCCCUCCUGGAG
This 1756-nucleotide long non-coding RNA is filed under the name Homo sapiens (human). RNAcentral describes it as "HSALNT0000917". The record is from RNAcentral. Lineage: Eukaryota; Metazoa; Chordata; Mammalia; Primates; Hominidae.